Molecule: ribosomal RNA, 492 nt
Filed under: uncultured bacterium
Lineage: Bacteria
Description: partial 16S ribosomal RNA
Rfam family: Bacterial small subunit ribosomal RNA
Source: RNAcentral
AGUGAACGCUGGCGGUAGGCCUAACACAUGCAAGUCGAACGGCAGCACAGUAAGAGCUUGCUCUUACGGGUGGCGAGUGGCGGACGGGUGAGGAAUACAUCGGAAUCUACUUUUUCGUGGGGGAUAAAGUAGGGAAACUUAAGCUAAUACCGCAUACGACCUACGGGUGAAAGCAGGGGAUCUUCGGACCUUGCGCGAUAGAAUGAGCCGAUGUCGGCUUAGCUAGGGGGAGGGGUAAAGGACCACCAAGGCGACGAUCCGUAGCUGGUCUGAGAGGAUGAUCAGCCACACUGGAACCGAGACACGGUCCAGACUCCUACGGGACGCAGCAGUGGGGAAUAUUGGGCAAUGGGCGCAAUCCUGAUCCAGCCAUACCGCGUGUGUGGAGAAGGCCUUCGGGUUGUAAAGCCCUUUUGCUGGGAAAGAAAAGCAGCAGGUUAAUACCCCGCUGUUCUGACGGUACCCAAAGAAUAAGCACCGGCUAACUUCGUG